UCUUUUUUUUUUCUCCUUUUUUUCUUGUCUAAAUAAAUGUACAUAAAUAAACAUGCUCACUAUAGUGAAGUUGUGACCAACCAGAGCAUUAAAGUGGUUGGCUAUUUUAUGAGUACUUGGAAAAUGAAUUUUAAUGAAAUAUAUUGAAAUAUCAAGUAAAAUUGCUAAUUAAUAAAAAUUAAAUGGAAUGUAAGUGUCAAUAUAAAUUAAAUUAAAAUUUCUGUUUAUCCUUUGAAAUAUGUAUAGGGAGUUUAUAUAUAGAUAAAACAAAUUCUAAAAUUCUUUAACAUUUGUGUUGAAAAAAUUAUAAUUACAAUUACGAAUAAAAUUAUGAUUUUAAGCUAUAAAACAUAUUUAUGUAUAAGUAGAAUCACAGUGCUCUAUGAUACAUAAACUAUUGGAAUCCAGCACUUUUAUGUAUAACCAAAAUAAAGUUUAUUUACAAAAAAUAAUACAGCCUAUAUUCUAAUCAAUAAACUAAUAUAUAGUAUUGGAAUUAGGAUACCUUUUAAUAUUCAGUGUUAAGAAGCCCCUCUUGACCAUGCCAUGAUAUUUGAUCACUCCUUUUGUUUGGACAAAAAUUUUCUAAACAUCUGUACUUUUGAUUGUCUGUACUCUCUAG
RNAcentral lists this unclassified non-coding RNA (622 nucleotides) under Hevea brasiliensis (rubber tree). The record is from RNAcentral. Lineage: Eukaryota; Viridiplantae; Streptophyta; Magnoliopsida; Malpighiales; Euphorbiaceae.